AGUGAACGCUGGCGGCGUGCUAACACAUGCAAGUCGAACGAGAACGGAUUAUAGCUUGCUAUAAUUGUCAGCUAAGUGGCGCACGGGUGAGUAAUGUAUAGGUAAUAUGCCUCUUACUAAGGGAUAACAAAUGGAAACGUUUGCUAAUACCUUAUACUCCUUAUUAACAGAAGUUAAUAAGGGAAAGAUUUAUUGGUAAGAGAUUAGCCUGUAUUGUAUCAGUUAGUUGGUGGGGUAAUGGCUUACCAAGACUAUGACACAUAACUGGUUUGAGAGGAUGAUCAGUCACACUGGAACUGAGACACGGUCCAGACUCCUACGGGAGGCAGCAGUGGGGAAUAUUGCACAAUGGACGAAAGUCUGAUGCAGCAACGCCGCGUGGAGGAUGACACAUUUCGGUGCGUAAACUCCUUUUAUAUGAGAAGAUGAUGACGGUAUUAUAUGAAUAAGCACCGGCUAACUCCGUGCCAGCCGCCGCGGUAA
This 483-nucleotide ribosomal RNA is filed under the name uncultured bacterium. RNAcentral describes it as "partial 16S ribosomal RNA". It matches the Rfam family "Bacterial small subunit ribosomal RNA", at positions 29 to 523 of the family's 1533-position model. The record is from RNAcentral.